AGGCGAUGAAGGACGCGGUAGCCUGCGAAAAGCUACGGGGAGCUGGCAAACGAGCUUUGAUCCGUAGAUGUCCGAAUGGGGAAACCCACUCCUUAUGGAGUAUCCAUGGCUGAAUACAUAGGCCAUGCGAAGCGAACGCGGUGAACUGAAACAUCUAAGUAACCGCAGGAAAAGAAAUCAACCGAGAUUCCCAAAGUAGUGGCGAGCGAAAUGGAGUA
This 218-nucleotide ribosomal RNA is filed under the name Burkholderia latens. Its description in RNAcentral is "partial 23S ribosomal RNA". It matches the Rfam family "Bacterial large subunit ribosomal RNA", at positions 44 to 265 of the family's 2925-position model. The record is from RNAcentral. Lineage: Bacteria; Pseudomonadati; Pseudomonadota; Betaproteobacteria; Burkholderiales; Burkholderiaceae.